CCCUUAGAUGUUCUGGGCCGCACGCGCGCUACACUGACGAAGUCAGCGAGCAUGUCCUACGCCGACAGGUGCGGGGAAUCUUGUCAAACUUCGUCGUGAUGGGGAUUGAUUAUUGAAAUUCUUGAUCAUCAACGAGGAAUUCCUAGUAAGCGCAAGUCAGCAGCUUGCGUUGAUUACGUCCCUGCCCGUUGUACACACCGCCCGUCGCUACUACCGAUUGAAUGGUUUAGUGAGAUCUUCGGAUUGGCGCCACUGCGGCUCAGCAAUGGGCUCGGUGGAUGCCGAAAAGUUGAUCAAACUUGAUCAUUUAGAGGAAGUAAAAGUCGUAACA
RNAcentral lists this ribosomal RNA (331 nucleotides) under uncultured eukaryote. Its description in RNAcentral is "partial 18S ribosomal RNA". It matches the Rfam family "Eukaryotic small subunit ribosomal RNA", at positions 1470 to 1796 of the family's 1831-position model. The record is from RNAcentral.